This 253-nucleotide ribosomal RNA is filed under the name uncultured bacterium. RNAcentral describes it as "partial 16S ribosomal RNA". It matches the Rfam family "Bacterial small subunit ribosomal RNA", at positions 524 to 776 of the family's 1533-position model. The record is from RNAcentral.
UACGAAGGGGGCUAGCGUUGCUCGGAAUCACUGGGCGUAAAGCGCACGUAGGCGGACUCUUAAGUCAGGGGUGAAAUCCUGGAGCUCAACUCCAGAACUGCCUUUGAUACUGGGAGUCUUGAGUCCGGAAGAGGUAAGUGGAACUGCGAGUGUAGAGGUGAAAUUCGUAGAUAUUCGCAAGAACACCAGUGGCGAAGGCGGCUCACUGGCCCGGUACUGACGCUGAGGUGCGAAAGCGUGGGGAGCAAACAGG